RNAcentral lists this ribosomal RNA (256 nucleotides) under uncultured bacterium. RNAcentral's name for it is "partial 16S ribosomal RNA". It matches the Rfam family "Bacterial small subunit ribosomal RNA", at positions 82 to 339 of the family's 1533-position model. The record is from RNAcentral.
GGUUUGGUGGCGAGUGGCGCACGGGUGCGUAACGCGUAUGCAACCUACCCUUUACAGGGGGAUAGCCCAGAGAAAUUUGGAUUAAUACCCCAUCGCAUAUGGGACCGGCAUCGGUUUCAUAUUAAAGUUUCGGCGGUAAGGGAUGGGCAUGCGUUCUAUUAGCUAGUAGGUACGGUAACGGCGUACCUAGGCUACGAUAGAUAGGGGCCUGAGAGGAUGAUCAGCCACACUGGGACUGAGAUACGGCCCAGACUCC